AUUGAACGCUGGCGGCAGGCCUAACACAUGCAAGUCGAGCGGAUGAAGGGAGCUUGCUCCUGGAUUCAGCGGCGGACGGGUGAGUAAUGCCUAGGAAUCUGCCUGGUAGUGGGGGAUAACGUCCGGAAACGGGCGCUAAUACCGCAUACGUCCUGAGGGAGAAAGUGGGGGAUCUUCGGACCUCACGCUAUCAGAUGAGCCUAGGUCGGAUUAGCUAGUUGGUGGGGUAAAGGCCUAACAAGGCGACGAUCCGUAACUGGUCUGAGAGGAUGAUCAGUCACACUGUAACUGAGACACGUUCCAGACUCCUACGGGAGGCAGCAGUGGGGAAUAUUGGACAAUGGGCGAAAGCCUGAUCCAGCCAUGCCGCGUGUGUGAAGAAGGUCUUCUGAUUGUAAAGCACUGUAAGUUGGGAGGAAGUGCAGUAAGUUAAUACCUUGCUGUUUUGACGUUACCAACAGAAUAAGCACCGGCUAACUUCGUG
Molecule: ribosomal RNA, 484 nt
Filed under: uncultured bacterium
Lineage: Bacteria
Description: partial 16S ribosomal RNA
Rfam family: Bacterial small subunit ribosomal RNA
Source: RNAcentral